CUCGAGUCCCCGACGUCAGUCUCUGACCCCGUGUCUCCAAGCCGCCUCCCAGUCCGAUCGAUCGAUCGCUACAAGACCGUGAUCGACUCUCUUCGUAGCUCCAAAGGGAAGCUGAUUAUAAUCUCGAACAAUUGCCCUCCUCUAAGAAAGUCGGAGAUCGAGUACUGCGCCAUGCUUGCUAAGGUUGGAGUUCAUCACUACAAUGGAAG
This is a long non-coding RNA of Rosa chinensis, 209 nucleotides long. RefSeq lists it as uncharacterized. The transcript has 2 exons. Lineage: Eukaryota; Viridiplantae; Streptophyta; Magnoliopsida; Rosales; Rosaceae. The record is from RefSeq and is a predicted model, not a curated record.